This 1226-nucleotide long non-coding RNA is filed under the name Manacus vitellinus (golden-collared manakin). RNAcentral describes it as "lncRNA (ENSMVIG00005016491.1)". Lineage: Eukaryota; Metazoa; Chordata; Aves; Passeriformes; Pipridae. The record is from RNAcentral.
GAAAUUGAAAGUAAGGAAAUCUCAUCAGGAACAACACCCACGUGCAGGUACCAAGCUCCUGCUGCACCUGAAUUCAAUUGAUGCAAAGAAGCUGAAUUUAAAAUAUGCUCCAGAACAAAGCAAGGCCAGCUGGAGGAUUUCCUGCAGGAGAAAGGAAAAGCCUGGGGAGGCAGUGGGCCGGAAUGCUGAGCUGUGACACAUUCCUGCUGGCUCUGGCAACCUGCCCUGCAAUUUCCAGGGACAGCAAACCUGUGAGACAGAUGCACUCACUGUGUGACUGAGGAUGCUCUCCAGCCCUGCUGAGCCAGCCCUGGGAGCGGGGCUGUGUGUGGGGUCUGCUGUUUUCUAGUUGGAGUGAUUUUUAUAGCCUGUAUUAUAAGGAAACCCACACGUGAGGAAAGGAAGAAGGAAUUAAAUGGAAAACAAACCACAGGCCCAGCCAUUAAUCCUUCUGGGGAAAGCAGGGCCUGGGCUGCAUUCUUCAGCAUCCAACCCACUGUGGGACACACGAGGUGAAAGUCGUCAACAGUCUGAGCUGAGUCUCUGGUCAGCCAUCGUUCUGGGGGAUCUGCUGCUGCUCUCCCACUGGAGCCUGUUCCUUUGUGCUCUUUCCAUGAGGAGCAGCCAAAAUCAUGAAUUAAACAUUGCUGAUAUUAAAGAGGACUCCUGGCAUCUGCCCCAAAUGGAGAAAUCAACGUGUCAUUCAUUACAGAUAUCCACACUUAUACAGGGAACACGUGUUUGCCAGAUGGUGCCAGUUCAGGAUUCCCAGAGGGAGCAGGAGUGGUCCAUCCCUGCUGAAUGCCAGAGCCACCCCAGUCCCGGGGUCCCCCAAGGGUCUUCACUCCUCUCCCUGCAGCCUGGCAGAGAUGCCCCUGGGCCUCUCCCAGCUGAGGCUGUGUUGUGACCCCAGACUGCCAAGGAAAGUACAAAAUUGAUGUAUCUUGGGGGAGGGAGGGAGGGGUGUGGGCUGAGAUCUGGUGUCUCAAGACCAUUCUUUAGACAGUGCUGAUCCAGACUGUCUUAUUCCCAGCAUUUUUCAAAUUGUGUUAUUUCCUACAGUUUGCAACUACACACAGUAGUCAGAGGUUAUGACACGUAGCUGACUUUAAAGGACACUGUCUGUAACAAGUGCUAUGUACAUAUUCUAUAAAUGUUGUUAUACCCUGUAUUUUAUAGCUUUAGACUGCAAUAAAUGGGGACAAACUAUGUGCUUGUAGUGUGAA